This 462-nucleotide ribosomal RNA is filed under the name uncultured bacterium. RNAcentral describes it as "bacterial SSU rRNA". It matches the Rfam family "Bacterial small subunit ribosomal RNA", at positions 28 to 507 of the family's 1533-position model. The record is from RNAcentral.
GACGAACGCUGGCGGCGUGCUUAACACAUGCAAGUCGAACGGAAAGGCCCUUCGGGGUACUCGAGUGGCGAACGGGUGAGUAACACGUGGGUGAUCUGCCCCGCACUCUGGGAUAAGCCUGGGAAACUGGGUCUAAUACCGGAUAGGACCACACACUUCAUGGUGAGUGGUGCAAAGCUUUUGCGGUGUGGGAUGAGCCCGCGGCCUAUCAGCUUGUUGGUGAGGUAAUGGCCCACCAAGGCGACGACGGGUAGCCGGCCUGAGAGGGUGACCGGCCACACUGGGACUGAGAUACGGCCCAGACUCCUACGGGAGGCAGCAGUGGGGAAUAUUGCACAAUGGGCGCAAGCCUGAUGCAGCGACGCCGCGUGAGGGAUGACGGCCUUCGGGUUGUAAACCUCUUUCAGUAGGGACGAAGCGAAAGUGACGGUACCUACAGAAGAAGGACCGGCCAACUACGUG